GAUGAAGAACGUAGCGAAAUGCGAUACGUAAUGUGAAUUGCAGAAUUCAGUGAAUCAUCGAGUCUUUGAACGCACAUUGCGCCCCCUGGUAUUCCGGGGGGCAUGCCUGUCCGAGCGUCAUUGCUGCCCUCAAGCACGGCUUGUGUGUUGGGCCUCCGUCCUCCUCCCGGGGGACGGGCCCGAAAGGCAGCGGCGGCACCGCGUCCGGUCCUCUAGCGUAUGGGGCUUCGUCACCCGCUCUUGUAGGCCCGGCCGGCGCUUGCCGACACAUCAAUCUUUUUUCCAGGUUGACCUCGGAUCAGGUAGGGAUACCCGCUGAACUUAAGCAUAUCAAUAAGCGGAGGA
Molecule: unclassified non-coding RNA, 345 nt
Filed under: soil metagenome
Description: partial contains 5.8S ribosomal RNA, internal transcribed spacer 2, and large subunit ribosomal RNA
Rfam family: 5.8S ribosomal RNA (bases 1-120)
Source: RNAcentral